AGGAGGAUGAUAACACUUGUAGCCUUUUUGAGCGCUAGAAUAACCCAUAAAACUAGAAUAACCCACAAACACACAUUUUUGAACCCUAAGUUCUAGUUUCCUGACAAUUGAUCCAUAAAUAAAGCAAACACACCCAAAAACCUUUGAAGGAAUAAUAUAACCCUUAAGCACUUCCAGAGGACUCUUAAAGUUUAGUGUAAAGGAGCAUCGGUUAAUAAAAUAUGUUGUAGUAAGAACAACAUCCCCCCAAUAUAAUGUGGGUAGGUUCAAUAUAAACAUGAGUGAUCAAGCCACUUCAAGUAAAUGCCUAUUUUUCCUUUCAGAUACUCCAUUUUGUGCACUUGUAUUCACAUAACUAC
Molecule: unclassified non-coding RNA, 359 nt
Filed under: Hevea brasiliensis (rubber tree)
Lineage: Eukaryota; Viridiplantae; Streptophyta; Magnoliopsida; Malpighiales; Euphorbiaceae
Source: RNAcentral